GAUGAACGCUAGCUACAGGCUUAACACAUGCAAGUCGAGGGGAAACGGCAUUGAGUGCUUGCACUCUUUGGACGUCGACCGGCGCACGGGUGAGUAACGCGUAUCCAACCUUCCCAUUACUGUGGGAUAACCUGCCGAAAGGCAGACUAAUACCGCAUAGUCUUCGAUGACGGCAUCAGAUUUGAAGUAAAGAUUUAUCGGUAAUGGAUGGGGAUGCGUCUGAUUAGCUUGUUGGCGGGGUAACGGCCCACCAAGGCAACGAUCAGUAGGGGUUCUGAGAGGAAGGUCCCCCACAUUGGAACUGAGACACGGCCCAAACUCCUACGGGAGGCAGCAGUGAGGAAUAUUGGUCAAUGGACGGAAGUCUGAACCAGCCAAGUAGCGUGCAGGAUGACGGCCCUAUGGGUUGUAAACUGCUUUUGUAUGGGGAUAAAGUUAGGGACGUGUCCCUAUUUGCAGGUACCAUACGAAUAAGGACCGGCUAAUUCCGUGCCAGCAGCCGCGGUAAUACGGAAGGUCCAGGCGUUAUCCGGAUUUAUUGGGUUUAAAGGGAGCGUAGGCUGGAGAUUAAGUGUGUUGUGAAAUGUAGACGCUCAACGUCUGAAUUGCAGCGCAUACUGGUUUCCUUGAGUACGCACAACGUUGGCGGAAUUCGUCGUGUAGCGGUGAAAUGCUUAGAUAUGACGAAGAACUCCGAUUGCGAAGGCAGCUGACGGGAGCGCAACUGACGCUUAAGCUCGAAGGUGCGGGUAUCAAACAGG
Molecule: ribosomal RNA, 761 nt
Filed under: Prevotella melaninogenica
Lineage: Bacteria; Pseudomonadati; Bacteroidota; Bacteroidia; Bacteroidales; Prevotellaceae
Description: bacterial SSU rRNA
Rfam family: Bacterial small subunit ribosomal RNA
Source: RNAcentral